AUUGAACGCUGGCGGCAUGCUUUACACACGCAAGUCGAACGGUAACAGGCCGCAAGGUGCUGACGAGUGGCGAACGGGUGAGUAAUGCAUCGGAACGUGCCCAGUCGUGGGGGAUAACUACUCGAAAGAGUAGCUAAUACCGCAUACGAUCUAUGGAUGAAAGCGGGGGACCGUAAGGCCUCGCGCGAUUGGAGCGGCCGAUGUCAGAUUAGGUAGUUGGUGGGGUAAAGGCUCACCAAGCCAACGAUCUGUAGCUGGUCUGAGAGGACGACCAGCCACACUGGGACUGAGACACGGCCCAGACUCCUACGGGAGGCAGCAGUGGGGAAUUUUGGACAAAGGGCGCAAGCCUGAUCCAGCAAUGCCGCGUGCAGGAAGAAGGCCUUCGGGUUGUAAACUGCUUUUGUACGGAACGAAACGGCUCUGGUUAAUACCCGGGGCUAAUGACGGUACCGUAAGAAUAAGCACCGGCUAACUACGUG
This 482-nucleotide ribosomal RNA is filed under the name uncultured bacterium. RNAcentral's name for it is "partial 16S ribosomal RNA". It matches the Rfam family "Bacterial small subunit ribosomal RNA", at positions 30 to 507 of the family's 1533-position model. The record is from RNAcentral.